RNAcentral lists this long non-coding RNA (2734 nucleotides) under Sus scrofa (pig). RNAcentral describes it as "lncRNA (ENSSSCG00030033742.1)". Lineage: Eukaryota; Metazoa; Chordata; Mammalia; Artiodactyla; Suidae. The record is from RNAcentral.
GCCGCUGCCAAAACUGAGGUCUGAUGUGUGCUGUGUGUGCACUUCUGCAUAUGCUGCAUUUGCAUAUGUUAUUCCUGGUUUAAGGCUGAAUAAUGGAUUCAGGUUCUGAGCAGGAGCAACUCUACAGAAGUGAUUAGCCAGGCGAUGCUCAGUUCUGGGCUCAGAAAGUGAAGAGCGUCACCACCUAAAAAGCAAAGUAAAUUAAUUCCACGGUGUUAAAACUAACUACAAGUAAACCCGAGAGAGCCAACGAUGGGAAUAAUGUGAAAUCCAGGAUUUGCUUCAGGAAGGGUCCACGGCAGAGAUGAGCCAGCAGCAAGGGUGGAAAUAAAAAGUAGAGCCCAAUCUGGACUGUCGGAAGUGUAAGACUCAUCCUAAACUGAAGAAGGAGCCAACAAACGUUGAAAGAAGACAGAGUGGGGCACGAGCCUGGGGAUGCUAGCUGGAUCCUCUGGAGGACAGCCCGGAGAUGCAGGGACCAGACACAAGCCCGCACAUCUGGAAGUCACUGCAGUGAUGUGAUCUAGAACAGAGGCUAAGAGCUUGGAGAGGAGCGACAGAGGCCAAGGUCAGGUGAGAGGUCUACCAACUAGAAGAGGGAGAGGAAGUCAGGACAAUGGACAGGGUCACGGCAGCGCGCCUGAGGCGUCUGGGGCGCAUCUUGCUUAUUAAACAGUGAUGCAAGGACCUGCAUCACUAUUUCUGCCAGAAGCUCCGUGGGUGAGUCCACCAAACUGCUGGGGUGGAGAACCACUGACGUUUGGGGCCAAGGUGGCUGAAGUGGGCUCUGAACUGAGGCAAAGAGCAGGGAAGAAGAGGUCAUUGGAGGAAGCCUGCUGGGCUGAGUUUGCAGUGCCUCCAGCACGUCCUUCUGGAGAGGUUGGUUCAUCCACACCUGUUCAUCCACAAGAGUGGAGGAGCCACCUUCACCAGGAAGAGCUUCUGUCAAGGUAGAGAUGGCAUCUGUCCUAGGAAGCUCAGGCUGCUGUGAAAAAAUACCAGACACCAAGUGGCUUAAAAAGCAGGCAUCUCUUUCCUUACAGUCCUGAGGACCUGCAGUUCAAGAUCAAGAUGUGCUCAUAGCUGCUGUCUACUGAGACCCCUCUCCCUGGCUUGCGGGCAGUGAUUUCUUGCUGUGCCCUCACGUGCCCGCAUUCCUGGCGUCUCUUUUUGUCCUAAUCUCCCCUUCUUAUGAGGACAUCCUUCGGAUCAGAUUAGGGCCCACCCUGAUGGCCUCAUUUUAGCUUAAUCAUGUUCUUAAAGGCCUUAUCUCUAAAUACAGUCCAUUCUGAGAUACCAGGUGCUGAAGUGGGGAGGCAUAUAAUUCAGCUGUAAAUGCUUCUUCGUGGUGAUGGGCAAAUGUCAGCUUUGCCCACUGAGCCCUGAAGGAACCACCGGUCCACAGGUCCCAUCUGAUAAGGAGACCUUCUAGUUUGGGGGCGAGGGGAUGGGUCUUGCUGGGUUGACCUCCCUGUAGCCCACCUCCCCCAGACCAUGGAUGGAUCGACGCUUGCUGUGUGUCUGAUGAACCAUCUCAUUUCAUCCUCACACCAGCCAGCAUGCACUAUCUGGCAUCACUCUCUCUGUUUCUAAGAUGAAAACAGCUUUGGCAUGAAGGUGUGACCUGCUAGAGGUCCCCCUGCGGGGAGACCUUGACCUUGGCUCAUCUGGACUCUCCAGAGCCCAUGACCUUAACCCCGUACCGUACAGCUUCUCCUCGAAUUAUUUGAACCAGAAUUUCUUUGGCUUAGAAACAUCUCUGAUUCUUUUAGAACUAAAAGUUCUUAAGAAUUCGCAGGUCAAGGAGGUGACCUUCUGUCAAAGGUUUCAAACUGUUUCUUAUCCCUGUGACUCUGAAAACCCUUCACAAUGUCGUAGAUGUGACGAUGGGUGGCUGGGACGUUCUCUGGUUGGCCUCACAGCAGGAUCAUUCCCGGUCUUCUCAGGAGCCCCAACAGCAAGAGAGAGAAGCAAAGGAGAGAUAAUGGCCCCAGGGGCGGCACGGAAAAGAGGCGGCAAUGACCGGGGAAGGGUAUUUUGAUUUCUGUCUCCCAGCAACACCCAGGGGACUGUUCCAGAGAAUGAACUGAGCUGAGUAAGUUAUGUGGUCCAGGAGUUGCAAAAGUGGUCCAUGCCUGGUGGUGGUGGAAUAGACGUUGAGGGGAGUAGAGAAAUCUCCCUGGGCAUCACAGCAUGGACGUGGGGCAAACAGAGCAUCCAAGGAGUCAACACAAACAUCUAUAUAUUUUUUAAAUUUUUUUGUCUUUUUCAGGCCACUCUUGCAGCAUAUGGAAGUUCCCAGGCUAAGGAUCAAAUCAAAGCUGCAGCUGCCUGCCGACACCACAGCCACAGCAACACCAGAUCCAAGUGUCGUCUGCGACCUACACCACAGCUCAUGGCAACACCGGAUCCUUAACCCACUGAGGGAGGCCACAGAUCAAACCUGCAUCGUCAUGGAUACUAGACGGGCUUGUUACCGCUGAGUCACAAUAGAGCCUCCCAAACAUCCUUAUCUUGGUCACCAGCAGCCAGUCACUUUCAACCAUAGAACUGACCCCUUGGUGGAAGACGGAUGGUUUGCCAGCUUCAUGUAAGAGACACCACUACUGGAGUUCCCCAGUGGCCUAGCAGGUUAAGGAUCCAACGUUGUCACUGCGGUGGCAUGUGUUUGAUCCCUGGCCCAGGAAUGUCUGCAUGCUGUGGGGGCAGCCAAAUGAGAAAAAAAAAAAAAAAA